UGCAGGCAUUCUCUCAAUCACACUUC
Molecule: non-coding RNA, 26 nt
Filed under: Rattus norvegicus (Norway rat)
Lineage: Eukaryota; Metazoa; Chordata; Mammalia; Rodentia; Muridae
Source: RNAcentral